This 468-nucleotide ribosomal RNA is filed under the name uncultured bacterium. RNAcentral describes it as "partial 16S ribosomal RNA". It matches the Rfam family "Bacterial small subunit ribosomal RNA", at positions 28 to 507 of the family's 1533-position model. The record is from RNAcentral.
GACGAACGCUGGCGGCGUGCUUAACACAUGCAAGUCGAACGGAAAGGCCCUGCUUUUGUGGGGUGCUCGAGUGGCGAACGGGUGAGUAACACGUGAGUAACCUGCCCUUGACUUUGGGAUAACUUCAGGAAACUGGGGCUAAUACCGGAUAGGAGCUCCUGCUGCAUGGUGGGGGUUGGAAAGUUUCGGCGGUUGGGGAUGGACUCGCGGCUUAUCAGCUUGUUGGUGGGGUAGUGGCUUACCAAGGCUUUGACGGGUAGCCGGCCUGAGAGGGUGACCGGCCAAAUUGGGACUGAGAUACGACCCAGACCACUACGGGAGGCAGCAGUGGGGAAUAUUGCACAAUGGGCGGAAGCCUGAUGCAGCAACGCCGCGUGCGGGAUGACGGCAUUCGGGUUGUAAACCGCUUUCGCCUGUGACGAAGCGUGAGUGACGGUAAUGGGUAAAGAAGCACCGGCUAACUACGUG